Molecule: ribosomal RNA, 497 nt
Filed under: uncultured bacterium
Lineage: Bacteria
Description: partial 16S ribosomal RNA
Rfam family: Bacterial small subunit ribosomal RNA
Source: RNAcentral
GAUGAACGCUGGCGGCGUGCCUAAUACAUGCAAGUCGAGCGAACAGACGAGGAGCUUGCUCCUCUGACGUUAGCGGCGGACGGGUGAGUAACACGUGGAUAACCUACCUAUAAGACUGGGAUAACUUCGGGAAACCGGAGCUAAUACCGGAUAAUAUAUUGAACCGCAUGGUUCAAUAGUGAAAGACGGUUUUGCUGUCACUUAUAGAUGGAUCCGCGCCGCAUUAGCUAGUUGGUAAGGUAACGGCUUACCAAGGCAACGAUGCGUAGCCGACCUGAGAGGGUGAUCGGCCACACUGGAACUGAGACACGGUCCAGACUCCUACGGGAGUCAGCAGUAGGGAAUCUUCCGCAAUGGGCGAAAGCCUGACGGAGCAACGCCGCGUGAGUGAUGAAGGUCUUCGGAUCGUAAAACUCUGUUAUUAGGGAAGAACAAAUGUGUAAGUAACUAUGCACGUCUUGACGGUACCUAAUCAGAAAGCCACGGCUAACUACGUG